Molecule: regulatory RNA element, 100 nt
Organism: Methylosinus sp. 3S-1
Lineage: Bacteria; Pseudomonadati; Pseudomonadota; Alphaproteobacteria; Hyphomicrobiales; Methylocystaceae
Rfam family: TPP riboswitch aptamer (THI element)
About the family: Vitamin B(1) in its active form thiamin pyrophosphate (TPP) is an essential coenzyme that is synthesised by coupling of pyrimidine and thiazole moieties in bacteria.
Source: Rfam
GGCAAUGGCGAGGGGCGCCGCUCUCUUCGAGCGGCUGAGAAGCACCCGUCGAACCUGAUCCGGGUAAUGCCGGCGCGAGGGAAGGCCAGAUCGACGUCGC